GAUGAAGAACGUAGUGAAAUGCGAUAAGUAAUGUGAAUUGCAGAAUUCAGUGAAUCAUCGAAUCUUUGAACGCACAUUGCGCCCGCCAGUAUUCUGGCGGGCAUGCCUGUUCGAGCGUCAUUUCAACCCUCAAGCCCAGCUUGGUGUUGGGGAUCGGCACAGGCGCCCUCGGGCGCCCGCCGUCCCCUAAAUCUAGUGGCGGUCCCGCUGCAGCCUCCUCUGCGUAGUAGUUUUCUCCUCGCAAGGGCAGCUCGGGGGCGACCUCGCCGUAAAACCCCCAACUUCUGAAAGGUUGACCUCGAAUCAGGUAGGAAUACCCGCUGAACUUAAGCAUAUCAAUAAGCGGAGGA
This 350-nucleotide unclassified non-coding RNA is filed under the name soil metagenome. RNAcentral describes it as "partial contains 5.8S ribosomal RNA, internal transcribed spacer 2, and large subunit ribosomal RNA". The stretch from base 1 to 120 matches the Rfam family "5.8S ribosomal RNA", at positions 35 to 154 of the family's 154-position model. The record is from RNAcentral.